AAGUCGUAACAAGGUCUCCGUUGGUGAACCAGCGGAGGGAUCAUUACAAGAAGCCGAAAGGCUGCUUAAAACCAUCGCGAACCUAUCCAUCAGCGUUGCUUCGGCGGGAGGAGGCCGAGGGGCCGGGGACCCGCACCCUCUCGGGGGUGCGGGGCCCGCCCGCCGGAGGUAUGAAACUCUUCUGCAUCUACAGUGGAAUAUCUGAGUAAUCAAGCAAAUAAGUCAAAACUUUCAACAACGGAUCUCUUGGUUCUG
RNAcentral lists this unclassified non-coding RNA (255 nucleotides) under fungal sp. Its description in RNAcentral is "partial internal transcribed spacer region". The stretch from base 1 to 46 matches the Rfam family "Eukaryotic small subunit ribosomal RNA", at positions 1786 to 1831 of the family's 1831-position model. Lineage: Eukaryota; Fungi. The record is from RNAcentral.